UACAGAGGUCUCAAGCGUUGUUCGGAUUCAUUGGGCAUAAAGGGUGCGUAGGUGGCGCAGUAAGGCAGGUGUGAAAUCUCGGGGCUCAACCCCGAAACUGCACUUGAUACUGCGGUGCUCGAGUACUGGAGAGGAGAUUGGAAUUUACGGUGUAGCAGUGAAAUGCGUAGAUAUCGUAAGGAAGACCAGUGGCGAAGGCGAAUCUCUGGACAGUUACUGACACUGAGGCACGAAGGCCAGGGGAGCGAACGGG
Molecule: ribosomal RNA, 253 nt
Filed under: uncultured bacterium
Lineage: Bacteria
Description: partial 16S ribosomal RNA
Rfam family: Bacterial small subunit ribosomal RNA
Source: RNAcentral